This 1139-nucleotide long non-coding RNA is filed under the name Anolis carolinensis (green anole). RNAcentral's name for it is "lncRNA (ENSACAG00000038878.1)". The record is from RNAcentral. Lineage: Eukaryota; Metazoa; Chordata; Lepidosauria; Squamata; Anolidae.
CUGGAACUGUAGUUUGCAAGGGGACAUGCCGCAUUACCACAGAAUGUCUACGUCUCACACCACUGGAUAAAUUAUGCUGUUUAGCUGUUAUUGCACCACCUGACAUUCGCCAGGAAGUAGCAGCAAACAAUGCCAAGGCAGUGACAUCUUUAGCCCAUCCCCUGUUCGGAUAUCAGCCAGCAAGCCAACCCCUUAAAUCAAGAAAUAGCUUUCUAAGAUCUACAGAGAUACUCUCAGGAACACCUCAGCAAGCAAGAGUCCAAAAGUGGCAGGCUAAAACCUGGAAUGUCGAUCCAUAGCUGAGAUAGGGAUGAGAGACUCCCUCCUGGGCACACAGAAGACUGAGUGACAUGGAAGUCACUGAACAGACUGCACUCUGGCACCACGAGGUUCAAAGCCAAUCUUCAGAAAUGGGGCUAUAAAGUGGAGUCCACUAAAUGCGAGUGUGGAGAAGAGCAAACCACAGACCAUCUAUUAUAAUGCAGUCUGCCACAUGCACAAUGGAGGACCUUCUUAUAGCAACACCAGAGGCACCCAAAGUGGCCAGUUACUGAUCAAAGGACAUUUAGUAUAAUGCCAAGUUUUUAACUUUGUUUGUGUUUCUAAUUGUACCCUCAGUUUUGCUUCUGAUAUGAUAAAUGAAUAAAUAAAUCCAUAGGGAAUAUGUUCCAAGACACACACAGCCUUGAACACAGAUAAUGGUGAGUCUACUAUUUUGACUAUACUUGGGAUAGAAGCGUAAAUACUUCCAUUUGUGGGGUUUCCUAGGUUUUCCAGUUAUUCUAUCAUAUGCUUGGACUAGAAUACCAUAUAAUCACAUUGGAUCACUGAGAGAGGUUCACCAGCACUUCCAAGUAGAAUAUUUUUUGGAGCAUGGAGUAAAGCCGUGGAUAUUGAGCACAUGGAUAAGAAGCAAUACCAUAUUUCUUUUUGCACUGUCAUAGCAAGCAGCAAUGGCAGUAAUUAUGUUGGCAGCCUCAUCAGCAUUAAACAACCUCCUGAUAUUUAGCAUUGCUAUUUAGCAUACUGGGUGUAGCAAGGAAGCAGCUACGAAUCCAAAAAGAAGGUAGAAGAUAUUAGGGAAAACCUUUAAGUAGAUUUUGGCUUUUGAGAAUGCUACAAAACAGCAAUCUCACUUU